GGCUGAGAUUAUCAAUCUUUAUGAUUUUAGCUGAGAUCAUAAAGAUUGAUAAUCUCAGCA
RNAcentral lists this microRNA precursor (60 nucleotides) under Pelobates cultripes (western spadefoot toad). Lineage: Eukaryota; Metazoa; Chordata; Amphibia; Anura; Pelobatidae. The record is from RNAcentral.